ACACAGCUGCUUCUUUUGCUCUCUUCCUACUUUCUUGUGCUUUGCCCCUCCCCUUUCCCAGGUGAUUGGGUUUGGGUGCUGGGCGGGGCUAAAUGCUAUAUGAGCCCCAGGCAUGGCAUCAGAGAGCUCAUUCUGCCUGGGCUGCCCUUUGGGAGGACUAAAACCAGCUUGACUGCGUGCUACAUGUGGCUUGGCAGUGUAGAUGCAGCAUUACCAAGAGACUGAGCAGGGUUGUAUCAGAGUCACCUCUUUCAUCUGCAAAGGGUGCUUUGUGCAGUCGUGGACAGGGAAGGGAAAUCCUCAUGUCAUGAAGCUCUGAGGGAAG
This is a non-coding RNA of Anas platyrhynchos (mallard), 325 nucleotides long. Lineage: Eukaryota; Metazoa; Chordata; Aves; Anseriformes; Anatidae. The record is from RefSeq and is a predicted model, not a curated record.